GGAGUUGUAGCUCAAUGGUAGAGUGCUUGCCUAGCAUGUGUGAGGCACUAGGUUCAGUUCUCAACACCA
This 69-nucleotide transfer RNA is filed under the name Marmota monax (woodchuck). RNAcentral's name for it is "tRNA.Ala". The record is from RNAcentral. Lineage: Eukaryota; Metazoa; Chordata; Mammalia; Rodentia; Sciuridae.